GACGAACGCUGGCGGCGUGCUUAACACAUGCAAGUCGAACGGAAAGGCCUCUUUCGGGGGGUACUCGAGUGGCGAACGGGUGAGUAACACGUGAGUAACCUGCCCCUGACUUUGGGAUAACUUCAGGAAACUGGGGCUAAUACCGGUUAGGAGCUCCUCCUGCAUGGUGGGGGUUGGAAAGUUUCGGCGGUUGGGGAUGGAAUCUCUGCCUAUCAAGUUGUUGGGGGGGUAGUGGCGUACCCAGUCGUUGACGGGUAGCCGGCCUGAGAGGGGGACCGGACAACAUCGGGAUUAGAGUUAGGCCCGGCUCCAUCGGGGAGCAGCAGGUGGGAAUAAUGCAACAAUGGUGGAAGGCCGGCUGCACAACGGCCUGGGGGGGAUGACGGGCUUCGGGUUGUAAACCGCUUUCGGUCAUGGCGAAGCUUUGUGUGACGGUAGUGGGUAAAGAAGCACCGGCUAACUACGUG
This 467-nucleotide ribosomal RNA is filed under the name uncultured bacterium. Its description in RNAcentral is "partial 16S ribosomal RNA". It matches the Rfam family "Bacterial small subunit ribosomal RNA", at positions 28 to 507 of the family's 1533-position model. The record is from RNAcentral.